Gopherus evgoodei (Goodes thornscrub tortoise) is the source of this 149-nucleotide long non-coding RNA. RefSeq lists it as uncharacterized. Lineage: Eukaryota; Metazoa; Chordata; Testudines; Testudinidae. The transcript has 3 exons. The record is from RefSeq and is a predicted model, not a curated record.
UCACUCUGGGUAUAUGAGCUAGAGGGUUGUAAGCAAGAGAUAAGAAGUGAUUCUUCCGCCCUACUCCGCGCUGAUUAGGCCUCAACUGGAGUCUUGUGUCCAGUUCUGGGCACCACUUUUCAGGAAAGAUGUGGCCCAAUUGCAGAGAG